UUGUUGGUGAGGUAAUGGCUCACCAAGGCGACGAUCAGUAGCGGGUCUGAGAGGAUGAUCCGUCACACUGGAACUGAGACACGGUCCAGACUCCUACGGGAGGCAGCAGUGGGGAAUUUUGGACAAUGGGGGCAACCCUGAUCCAGCCAUUCCGCGUGAGUGAAGAAGGCCUUCGGGUUGUAAAGCUCUUUCAGCCGGAACGAAACGGUACGCCUUAAUACGGUGUGCUAAUGACGGUACCGGCAGAAGAAGCACCGGCUAACUACGUGCCAGCAGCCGCGGUAAUACGUAGGGUGCGAGCGUUAAUCGGAAUUACUGGGCGUAAAGCGUGCGCAGGCGGAUUGUUAAGCAAGAUGUGAAAUCCCCGGGCUUAACCUGGGAAUGGCAUUUUGAACUGGCAGUCUAGAGUGUGUCAGAGGGGGGUGGAAUUCCACGUGUAGCAGUGAAAUGCGUAGAUAUGUGGAGGAACACCAAUGGCGAAGGCAGCCCCCUGGGAUAACACUGACGCUCAUGUACGAAAGCGUGGGUAGCAAACAGGAUUAGAUACCCUGGUAGUCCACGCCCUAAACGAUGUCAACUGGUUGUUGGGGGAGUGAAAUCCCUUAGUAACGAAGCUAACGCGUGAAGUUGACCGCCUGGGGAGUACGGUCGCAAGAUUAAAACUCAAAGGAAUUGACGGGGACCCGCACAAGCGGUGGAUGAUGUGGAUUAAUUCGAUGCAACGCGAAAAACCUUACCUACCCUUGACAUGUCCAGAAUCCUGCAGAGAUGCGGGAGUGCCCGAAAGGGAAUUGGAACACAGGUGCUGCAUGGCUGUCGUCAGCUCGUGUCGUGAGAUGUUGGGUUAAGUCCCGCAACGAGCGCAACCCUUAUCAUUAGUUGCUACGCAAGGGCACUCUAAUGAGACUGCCGG
This 913-nucleotide ribosomal RNA is filed under the name uncultured bacterium. Its description in RNAcentral is "bacterial SSU rRNA". It matches the Rfam family "Bacterial small subunit ribosomal RNA", at positions 246 to 1155 of the family's 1533-position model. The record is from RNAcentral.